ACUCUCCUCUCCAGCCCAUCCUGUGCCCUCCCCGCCGCACUCUCCCCGCCCCCAAUACUAUCUGAGGUUCCUAGGAGGGAGGAGAAGCCAAAGCAGCCACUUCCAGUCCAGAACUUCCAGGAAUGGGAUAGGGGAGAGACAAGGAGAGGGAGAAAGCAGUGAAGAAGACCCUGAGACCGGGCGGCGAAGAGGGGCAGGCUGAGGUCUUACUUUGAAGCAACAUUUUAGAAAGCAAGAAGAGGGAUUGUGGCCAUGCUCAGAAGGUCAGCGGGGAGCCCGACGGCAAGGAUGAUUCAACUUUUACCACCAGAACGUAAACGCCAAGGGUAGCCGAGGCUGGGACUUUGGAGUCAGUGCAAACAUCCCUCUACUUCCCAGGAUACCUGGAGGGUUUCCUGUCCUCAGCACAGUACAGUCAUUCUCGCUUACAAUCAUGGCCCCAACUCAUCAGGAAAAGGAAGUGCUAACAGAACUGGAUUGGGGUAAGGAUGACUCCAAAACAACUAGAAGGAUUUCAUUGCACUGAGAUGCAGAAGACUCUAGGAGGAACUGGUUUGCAGGGGAAGAUGAGUUCCAUGUUGGACAUGCAGACUGACACUCCAGUCCUUACUGAUUGAGACGAGGCCCCUUCUGAGCUGCUGUCCAGGAGAGGAGGUGGUUGGCCACAUACUCAGCCCAAGCCAGUUUCCCUCAGGACUAUGCGGGACAAUAUGGCAGGGUACCGCGUAGAGCUUUACUGCAAAAAUAAACAAGGAAAGAGAAUCA
Non-coding RNA from Callithrix jacchus (white-tufted-ear marmoset), 765 nucleotides. NCBI's taxonomy places the organism in Eukaryota, Metazoa, Chordata, Mammalia, Primates, Cebidae. The record is from RefSeq and is a predicted model, not a curated record.